RNAcentral lists this long non-coding RNA (276 nucleotides) under Nicotiana benthamiana. Its description in RNAcentral is "long non-coding RNA (NBEN_LNC001564)". Lineage: Eukaryota; Viridiplantae; Streptophyta; Magnoliopsida; Solanales; Solanaceae. The record is from RNAcentral.
AUUACCCAAAACACCCGCUGAUACAAGAUCGGAACCUCGAAUGACAGGAAAACUUCGAUUAUUCGCUCAACAAUCGUUGAAAAAUCUCCAAAAAGUAUCUCUCACUGAUAACCAUAGGAAAAGCUUCAGCAAAAGCUUCGAACAGGAUCGAUAACAUGCAACCGAGAACGAUCCAAAGAUCCUCCGGCUCUGAUACCAUGAAAACCUGAAGAGUAAGCUAAAGAACAUGGAGAAUAUAGUGAGAGAAAUAAGAGAGAGGAAGGAGCAGUUGAGAGA